Diachasmimorpha longicaudata is the source of this 3595-nucleotide long non-coding RNA. RefSeq lists it as uncharacterized. The transcript has 10 exons. The record is from RefSeq and is a predicted model, not a curated record. Lineage: Eukaryota; Metazoa; Arthropoda; Insecta; Hymenoptera; Braconidae.
GUGCGAUGUAGUUGUAGUCCCUUGGACCGAAGACAAUAGAAAAGAAGGAAUAUACAUUUUUCCACAGGCGUAUGAUGUACAAGAAGGAAGAUAGAGUGGAAAAAGAGAAAGGAAUCCGCAGAGCUGAUAAAUCGAAUAAUCUCUCCUCACGAUGAUAACUCGAUUUUCUAACGAGAAAGGAUUAAUCGAUGGGAAAUUGAUGAGCUCAAGUUUCUGAAUGACUCUCAACAGAGAGGAAUGUUUUUGUUUAGAUGUUCAUCAGUUGUUGAUUAAUUUCUGGUUUUAAUAUUGAAGUUAUGCUCAACUGUAAAGCAGUAGGCAUAAACACCAGUUGAAUGGUUAAGGACAUCCCACAAUGUUUUACAAUAUGCAGAAGGAAAACGGGAGAAUGGAACGCCUAUUCCCAUUUAUUUUAGUGGAUUAGAAAUGUUGAAGGUGCUUUAUCGUGCCUCGACUCCAUUUCCAUUUGGUCGGCAAGACGUGUGUGCAACGAAACUAGCCGUUUCUUCCUCGGUCUGUUUCUCCCACCAUACCAGCUCAUUGGAUGAGUCAGGGAGGAUAGAAUGAACUAGAAGGGCACUUCUGGGCAUUUGCCUGACACCAGCAGCGUCGUAGUACUUGCCCACGAAAGAGGGAGGGCGUCACACUUCGUGUGUGUGUGUGUGAUAACCGACAGAUGAUGUCUUGUUACACAAUGAACUGAUUCUAUCGUUUGGAGUAGGAGGAGAGACUACCUAGAGGCUUACGCCGAUGUUAGUAACGACGCCGACGAUGAGAUGCGCCACCGUCGAUUCUGGCAGCUGGUGUGUUGCCUCGGUAUUUGAAGAAUUAGCAUAACUUACUUCUCCCGGACAUUGGGGCCUCAGGUUUGAACACAUCACGGGGCAGGCUGGGCCGCAGGGUCGAAAACUGGCAUUUUCCGGACAAGGAGGAAGACCACGUUGAGGUACCGCACCUGUCAAAAUUAUCGCAACACUGACAUUCGUAUGACAAUUCAGUAGCGAAGUGAUAAAUCAAGAUAAUACUUUUUGGACUAUUGACCAGUUUUUUAUGAAUAUCUCAAAAUUUGGGGGAGAUAGCGAAAUUUCUAUUGAAACCUUUUUUAUAAAGCAAACUGAGCGCAACAACAAAGAUUAUAACAAAAAUUUCGCUAUCUCUCUUACUCUCCAAGAUAUUGUUGAAAAACUUAAGUUAGAAAUAAGUCCAUUGAUCUCGUUUUACCACUUCGCUACUAAAUUUUGUUUUUAAAUUCUCGUGUAGAUGAUUGACAAUUAUAUUGUGCUUUGGCUUUUCAGAAAAAAUUAACUCACCGCUCGGGAAAGUUUGUUGACUCUCUGGUAAGACUUGUCUAUCCUUUGGCAAAAAAUUAUCCAACAAGUUGGCAAUUUUUCUCGAAUGGGUAGAUAAGUUUUACUAAACAGUCGACAAAUUUCCCUGAGGUGUACGGUAAUUUGAAUAUACGUACAGGUGCAUGCGAAGACCAGGAAUAUGGUCAGUAUGACGAGCUCACGCAUCUUCAGGGCUUUUCGAACGAACGAGAUUAAAUUGAUAUAAAAAAAUUUCACUUGAUCCUUAUAUACAAUUACCAAUAGAAAAAAAAGAAUUCACGCUAAAAAUAUCUGAUUGACGUGCGUGUUUGAUAUGGAAAUGAAUGUUAAUUAAUUCUUUGGAUUUUUAUUUACGCAGUUGGACAGUGAAAGUGAUAAAAUACUAAACCACAUGUUUCAUGGAUCCUCCGCUUCGUCUAUGCUUGUUGUAAGGGCUUCAUUUUCCUUCUUUUGUAACUCAGCGAAGUGCCAGCACUCAACUUAUCUAAACUUUCCACUCUCAGCCACUUGGUGACCCGCAUGAACUUGAAUUAUUUAUUUAAAAAAAAUUAAAAUUGUCAUCUGAUUUUUCAAAAUGUUUGCUAAAUUUGUAACUUGUCUCUAACUUCGACUAGACGAUUGUCUCAUCAGCCCGUGCUAAUCUGCUAUGGUUCACUCAACAGUUUAAUAAUAUUAGACUUCAAUUGAAUACAAACUUAAUUCUCCCAUCUGUUCAAUUUUCUUCAAACUUUAAUAAUUGAAAUUUGAGUUAUGCAGAGACCCCUUCAAAAAAUAAAAAUAAAUGAUUUUCUUAGUGCAACUCAAAAUGUCUUUUAUUUCCGGUGCAAUUAACGUUAAGUUUUUUCACUGUGCACCAACGAACUGUCGGCUGGUCAGGUAAGUGAUAGACGUUCCUGAGUGAAAAACAUUAUCAUUUCAUUAUCAUAAUACUUGAAAUAUGUUUGCAGGUCUCCUACCCUUAAAAUUCCGUAGAAUUAUGAACCUGUUUGUUUGUCUUCCACAUUUCUGACGUCCAGUUGUCAUAACGAGGAAAAAGCAACAAAAAUUGAAUUCGAGUACGUGAUAUUUAUUCUACAAACUCACCGAAAUUAAUAAAAAAAUGUUCGCUAUAGCAGGAAAUUGUAUAAAAGGGUCGUGUGCAAGCUUGCCAGUAUUAAUUUGAUUUAACCAUUUGCAAAACUCUCAAGAUGCGUAUUCUUUUCGUCCUCGCUAUCUUCCUCGUGUUGGCAUACACCACUUCUGCGCAACCUGGCAGACGCCACCCGCGCUGCGCUCUUGGAUCCUCCUGGAGAGCAUGCGGUCGUGCAUGCCCACGUACUUGUGGUAAUCGUAGACCAUCUUGUCCUGGAGCACGCUGUCGAGCUGGAUGCUUCUGCAACCGGGGUUGGAUUCGACAAACUCGCAAUGGGCCUUGUAUCAGAGAAAGCAUGUGUCCUCGCACCAGACCAUGAUCUGUCUGAGGUCUUCCAGAUGAUAGACAAUGGAACAAGGCGAUAAGUGCACGCGCGUAUCGCUGGAAAUUGUAACAAAAAGUGUCAUAUCCGUUCAAAAAAUUAAACAUUGAAAUAAACGAGUCAUUGCAUCAAUAUAUAAUCGAAUUGAAUGGAUUCUGAAUGUAUCCUAUCUCAACGGAUGAUAUGGAUCACUUGCUAAAAGGAUGACAUGCAGUAGUUUGGUGUUGGUUGAAUCAAUAUUUUACUGUCUGCAUAUGUUUAUUUAAAUACGGUAUUUACCAUAUACAUUUGUUACAUAAAUUUCUCAACCACUGAAUCUUUCUGCUGAUCAUUAUCGUAUGAAUUUAUCGUAUUUGUCACAUCAAUGCUCCGUCGUAUAAAAGAAGGAAGUUUGAGUCUCGCUGUAUCAGUUCGAUUUCGUUAUUUGGAAAUCAGUUCGAUUUCUCCGUUUGGAAAUCUUCAGAUAUGCGUGCUAUUUUUAUUUUUGCUAUUUUCAUUGCGCUCGUAUGCACUGUUCGUGCCCAACGCAGAAGUUGUCAACCGAAUGCAACCUGGGGAUGCGGUGAUCCCUGUCCUGCUACCUGUCAGAACCGUAAUCCCAGCUGCAACAGAAUACACUGCGCUGAUAGAUGCUACUGCAACCGCGGGUUUAUAGAACAAUGGUCGGGUGGUCCUUGCGUGCGAUCCUGUUGAAGAUAUUGGCCUUCCUGAAUGCUCUGGGUAAUCGCUCUCCUAGCCGCUCAAAAAUACGACUAUAUUAGCAUCAUUGUUGCCAAAAAAAAAUUUUAAUCCAAUAAAUAAUACCUCUACGUA